UACGAAGGGGGCUAGCGUUGCUCGGAAUCACUGGGCGUAAAGCGCACGUAGGCGGACUUUUAAGUCGGUGGUGAAAUCCUGGAGCUCAACUCCAGAACUGCCUUCGAUACUGAGAGUCUCGAGUCCGGGAGAGGUGAGUGGAACUGCGAGUGUAGAGGUGAAAUUCGUAGAUAUUCGCAAGAACACCAGUGGCGAAGGCGGCUCACUGGCCCGGUACUGACGCUGAGGUGCGAAAGCGUGGGGAGCAAACAGG
Molecule: ribosomal RNA, 253 nt
Filed under: uncultured bacterium
Lineage: Bacteria
Description: partial 16S ribosomal RNA
Rfam family: Bacterial small subunit ribosomal RNA
Source: RNAcentral